This 406-nucleotide ribosomal RNA is filed under the name uncultured bacterium. Its description in RNAcentral is "partial 16S ribosomal RNA". It matches the Rfam family "Bacterial small subunit ribosomal RNA", at positions 30 to 526 of the family's 1533-position model. The record is from RNAcentral.
AUUGAACGCUGGCGGCAGGCCUAAACCAUGCAAGUCGAGCGAGCGGCGGACGGGUGAGUAAUGUCUGGGAAACUGCCUGAUGGAGGGGGAAAACUACUGGAAACGGUGGCUAAUACCGCAUACCAUCAGAUGGGCACAGAUGGGAUUAGCUAGUAGGUGGGGUAAUGGCUAACCUAGGCGACGAUCCCUAGGUGGUCUGAUAGGAUGAACAGCCACACUGGAACUGCGACACGGUCCAGACUCCUACGGGAGGCAGCAGUGGGGAAUAUUGCACAAUGGGCGCAAGCCUGAUGCAGCCAUGCCGCGUGUGUGAAGAAGGCCUUCGGGUUGUAAAGCACUUUCAGCGAGGAGGCGUUACUCGCAGAAGAAGCACCGGCUAACGCCGUGCCAGCAGCCGCGGUAAUUC